UCCCCGGUUGCUCUGCUGGUAGGGGCCGCCUGACUUUGAAUCAGGACAAGGGACGUAGGUUCGAUUCCUACCCGGGGAG
Molecule: transfer RNA, 79 nt
Filed under: Kytococcus aerolatus
Lineage: Bacteria; Bacillati; Actinomycetota; Actinomycetes; Micrococcales; Kytococcaceae
Rfam family: tRNA
About the family: Transfer RNA (tRNA) molecules are approximately 80 nucleotides in length. Their secondary structure includes four short double-helical elements and three loops (D, anti-codon, and T loops).
Source: Rfam by way of RNAcentral